Molecule: ribosomal RNA, 253 nt
Filed under: uncultured bacterium
Lineage: Bacteria
Description: partial 16S ribosomal RNA
Rfam family: Bacterial small subunit ribosomal RNA
Source: RNAcentral
UACAGAGGGGGCAAGCGUUGUUCGGAAUUACUGGGCGUAAAGGGCGCGUAGGCGGCCUGCUAAGUCGAACGUGAAAUCCCUGGGCUCAACCCAGGAACUGCGUCCGAUACUGGUUGGCUUGAAUCCGGGAGAGGGAUGUGGAAUUCCAGGUGUAGCGGUGAAAUGCGCAGAUAUCAGGAGGAACACCAAUGGCGAAGGCAGCUCGCUGGGACGUGACUGACGCUGAGACGCGAAAGCGUGGGGAGCAAACAGG